AAAGUCAAAUAGCACGUGAAAUUGUUGAAAGGGAAACGAUUGAAGUCAGUCAUACCGAUGGACAUUCAGCCACUCGGACGUGAUUAUGGUGGAAGUGGGUAGAACUCACCCUGUCAUAUUCGUGAACUUGCGGUGUAAUUGUUCGUAUGGGUAGGUUAACAUCAAUUCUGGGCAUCAUAAAAUGACGGGAGGAAUGUAGCUUUAAUUUUUUGAAGUGUUUAUAGCCUCUGGUAGAUGUGAUGACCGGGAUUGAGGAUUGCAACGAAUGCCUCUGGCUACUCGUCUGAUCUCUGAUUGUCGCUCUGGUGGCGAAAGCUUGCUUACGGUAUCAGAGUUUGGGGGUCUAAAGGUUAGAACGAGUUAAAUUCGUUAAGGAUGUUGACGUAAUGGCUUUAAACGA
Molecule: unclassified non-coding RNA, 400 nt
Filed under: uncultured Glomeromycotina
Lineage: Eukaryota; Fungi; Glomeromycota
Description: sequence contains 28S rRNA gene
Source: RNAcentral